GGGGGAUUUGGGAAUGGGGGCGGGGGUUUAUGAAUGGGGGCGGGGAAUGAGGGGGGAUUUGUCAAUGGGGGCGGGGAUUUGGGGGUGGGGGGGGUGUGAAUGGGGGGGCAAUGGGGGGGGAUUUGUGAAUGGGGGCAGAGAUUUGGGGAUGGGGGGGGAAUGGGAGGGGGGUGAAUGAGGGGGGAUUUGUGAAUGGGGGGGUGUGAAUGGGGGGGUGUGAAUGGGGGCAGGGAUUUGUGAAUGGAGGGGGAGUGAGAAUGGGGGGGGAAUGGGAAGGAGGUGAAUGGGGGGGGAAUGUGAAUGGGGGGGAGAGAGGGAGGGAAUGUGAAUGGGGGGGAGGGAAUUGUGAAUGGGAGGGAGGGGGAGGGGGGAAUUGUGGGUGGGGGGGAGGAAGGGGGGGGUGGAAUUGUGAAUGGGGGUGGUGGGAGAGGGAGGAAUCGUGAAUGGAAUGUGAGCGGGGAAGGAAAAAGUGAAUGGAGGGAGACGGGAACAGAAAGCAGUUCUGAAUGGAAUGGAAUGGAAUGGAAUGGGGUGGGGUGGGGGUGGGGAGGGGUGGGGGUCCUGGCAGCUCACAGAGGUGGGAGGGGGGGGUUGGAAAAGUCCUGGCAGCUCACAAAGGAAUGGGGGUGUUGGGAAGGAAAGGUCCUGAAAGGUCACAGAGCCACGGGGUGGGUGGGUGGGGUGGGAAAGGUCCUGACAGAUCACAGAGAUGUGGAAUGAAUGGGUUGGGAUGGAAAGGUCCUGACAGAUCACAGAGCUAUGGGGUGGCUGGGUUGGGUUGGGAAGGUCCUGACAGGUCACAAAGGCAUUGGACUGUUGGAUUGGGAUGGAAAGGUCCUGGCUGGUCACAGAGAUGUGGAAUGAAUGGGUUGGGAUGGAAAGGUCCUGACAGAUCACAGAGUUAUGGGAUGGUUGGAUUGGGUUGGAAAGGUCCUUACAGACCACAGAGAUGUGGGAUGGUUGGAUUGGGAAGGUCCUGGCAGGUCACAGAGAUGUGGGAUGAAUGGGUUGGGAUAGAAAGGGUCCUGACAGAUCACAGAGCUAUGGGGUGGUUGGGUUGGAUUAGAAAGGUCCUAACAGAUCACAAAGGCAUUGGACAGUUGGGUUGGGAUGGAAAGGUCCUUACAGAUCACAGAGCCAUUGGAUGGUUGGGUUGGGUUGGAAAGGUCCUAACAGGUCACAGAGAUGUGGGAUGGAUGGGUUGGGAUGGAAAGGUCCUGACAGAUCACAGAGAUG
RNAcentral lists this long non-coding RNA (1236 nucleotides) under Gallus gallus (chicken). RNAcentral's name for it is "lncRNA (ENSGALG00010018563.1)". Lineage: Eukaryota; Metazoa; Chordata; Aves; Galliformes; Phasianidae. The record is from RNAcentral.